UACGUAGGGUGCGAGCGUUAAUCGGAUUUACUGGGCGUAAAGCGUACGUAGGCGGCUUGUUAAGCAAGAUGUGAAAUCCCCGGGCUCAACCUGGGAAUGGCAUUUUGAACUGGCAGGCUCGAGUUCUGAAGAGGGUGGUAGAAUUUCCAGUGUAGCGGUGAAAUGCGUAGAUAUUGGAAGGAAUACCGGUGGCGAAGGCGGCCACCUGGUCAGAAACUGACACUGAGGCUCGAAAGCGUGGGUAGCAAACAGG
This 253-nucleotide ribosomal RNA is filed under the name uncultured microorganism. RNAcentral's name for it is "partial 16S ribosomal RNA". It matches the Rfam family "Bacterial small subunit ribosomal RNA", at positions 524 to 776 of the family's 1533-position model. The record is from RNAcentral.